UUUAUUUAUGGUUAAACUCCCAUGGCACUGUAACCAGAUUCCCCGGCUGGCAGGAGGGCGGGGGAGUGAGGAAAGGCGCCCACUUUCCUUUGGUUUUCUCUUACCUCUUCCUGAUUUUUUUUCUUUUGACCCUAGCAUCUCUUUCCAUCUUUAAAUUCAGAUUCACAAAAUGGUUGCUCCCAGGGCUACACAAGAUUGCAAAACACUCUGCCUUGGAUUCACUUCUCCGUUUUGCUUUCAUUUCAAGAGAACAUAGAUAACAGCAUUGUGAUAUUUCUUGGAGAAGGUCUAUAUUUAUUCUAACCAUUUUCUCAUUGCUUAAAAUAUUUUGAAGCUCCCUUUUUCAAAAGUUGAUUUCGAGCCAGGUUUAGAGUGAGCUACAAAGAUGCAAAAACGUCAGUGUCGGUAAGUUUAUAACGGGAUGUUUGUGAAGCCUGGCAGUGUCGCCAGCACAGCAUAGGAGCGUAAACGAGCCUCCGCGGUUUCUCUGUAGGUCAAGGUGAAAGCCCUCGGUCACAGUCUCUGUGCACAUCUCUCCAGACUGUUAAUUUUGCUCUACUGACCCUUACCAAUGAAAACGUGGGCCUGUUUCAGCUGAUUCACUGGCAUCUCAGUCCACCUCUCUCCCUCACUGUACCAACAAACCACCAAGUGCCCCGUGUCCCUCUGUCCUGCUGUAUCGGUGUCAGCUGAAACCUCAGGGAAUCAGCUGCCCAGAGGGAACUAGACAUGCAAGAGAGGUGAUAGGGGAGGCACUGGCGAGGGAAAAGGGCGGGAGUGGCCCUGACACUGGCAGGAUUGGGCAGGAAGAGUCCCCGAGGGCAGCACUGUUCUGAGAAAGCCCUGCCAGGCCAGGGGCAGCCACCAAGCAGAAGCCUUUAGUCAGAGGAGUCUCAGAAAGAGGAGGCGCUGCUCGGGGUUGCGUGUUCACCGGGGAACAGCCAGGGAGAGUGUGGACACCCACGGGGAGGUUCUGGGCUACCAGUGGAGGAUGGCUGUGCUGUGGGUCCCUUGGAAGGAGUGCUGAGGACACCUGCAGGCCACCAGCCCCCCUGCACCACACACAGCCCCUUGCAGCGUGUGUUCGGGGAGCAGCUCCCCCUUCGUUUCUUGAGCCUCUCAUCUUGGAAGAUACUUAGAAGAGGGGCAGUAGGACUAACCACGAGCCCUGGUGCUGCCACUGGCUGGGACCGCCGGGGUUUGCUCCUGUUCCCCACCUUCCUCCUGAGAGCCCUGAGCCUGGAGGACCACACCCUCCUCAGGACCCUCACUCAUGGGGGAGGAGCCAAGCGGAGCUGGCUUUCACACACUCCUCCUGGACCCAGUGCAAACCAGCCUGUCCUCGGCUGGGGAUCGAGGUCAGUGAAUCCCUCCAAACAGAAACACUUUGUCCCACUCCUGUCCCCAGACACAGGCAUCAAAGGAUCCUGGUGGCAGCUGUGACUUGUGGCACACGGGGACUCCUGGUGAUACCCCUCGUAGGAUCUGAACUUCCAGCCCUACAGAGUCCAGAGUUGCAGGGACAGGAAGCCCAGUGGGUCACUGCAGUGACAGUAGCCUCGUGUAGGAACAUCUGCUCGGCCAGCCUCCUCCUGCCUCCCGACUCUGCCUGGGCUCGUCCGAUACACCAGCUGAUGGGCUGAUGCUGAGCCAUCCAACUUUGUGACCUGGUGGACCCCCAGAUCCAGAUCAUAGCGGGCAGUUCCAGAGGGUCAACUGGUACCUCAAGGUCGAGUGAUUGACCUUGGAGAGUCUGCUUCUCCAAGGAUGCAUAGUCCCUGCUGUAGCUGGCUCUGCGGCAGUCCCCAGUGCCUACAUAGGAAUUGUCCCCUGAGCUGGAUGUGACCACAUCACACCUCCUCCCCCCAUUGACACCACAGCGCUGCAGCCACUUCUCUGGGAGGAGACCCCAGUGGCCACCACCAGGCUGGAGCAGCACCUCCCUCCUCCCCGUAGCCUUGGGGCCUUCCUGCAGACUCCUUCCCGAGAGUCAGGCAGCCUGAGCUCCCGGCCCAGAUCAUGCUGAUUGUAAGUUAAAUUGUGUCCCUUAAAGAACACGUGGAAGCCCUU
Non-coding RNA from Marmota flaviventris (yellow-bellied marmot), 2070 nucleotides. The record is from RefSeq and is a predicted model, not a curated record. NCBI's taxonomy places the organism in Eukaryota, Metazoa, Chordata, Mammalia, Rodentia, Sciuridae.